RNAcentral lists this ribosomal RNA (274 nucleotides) under uncultured bacterium. Its description in RNAcentral is "partial 16S ribosomal RNA". It matches the Rfam family "Bacterial small subunit ribosomal RNA", at positions 523 to 796 of the family's 1533-position model. The record is from RNAcentral.
AUACGGAGGGUGCAAGCGUUAAUCGGAAUUACUGGGCGUAAAGCGCGCGUAGGCGGCUAAGUAAGUCGGAUGUGAAAGCCCUGGGCUCAACCUGGGAAUUGCAUUCGAUACUGCUUGGCUAGAGUAUGGUAGAGGGUAGUGGAAUUCCUGGUGUAGCGGUGAAAUGCGUAGAUAUCAGGAGGAACAUCAGUGGCGAAGGCGGCUACCUGGACCAAUACUGACGCUGAGGUGCGAAAGCGUGGGGAGCAAACAGGAUUAGAAACCCCAGUAGUCC